Molecule: small nuclear RNA, 107 nt
Organism: Jaculus jaculus (lesser Egyptian jerboa)
Lineage: Eukaryota; Metazoa; Chordata; Mammalia; Rodentia; Dipodidae
Source: Ensembl
GUGCUCGCUUUGGUAGCACAUAUACUAAAACUAGAACGAUAAAGAGAAGAUUAGCAUGGUCCCUGCUCAAGAAUGACAUGCAAAGUCAAGUUUUUAUUUAUCUCUUA